UACGUAGGGAGCAAGCGUUGUCCGGAUUCACUGGGCGUAAAGGGUGCGUAGGCGGCUUUGUAAGUCAGAGGUGAAAUCUCACGGCUUAACCGUGAAACUGCCUUUGAUACUGCAGAUCUUGAGUUUGGGAGAGGUUGAUGGAAUUCCAGGUGUAGCGGUGAAAUGCGUAGAUAUCGGGAGGAACACCUGUGGCGAAAGCGGCGCACUGGACCACAACUGACGCUGAGGCGCGAAAGCUAGGGGAGCAAACAGG
This 253-nucleotide ribosomal RNA is filed under the name uncultured bacterium. RNAcentral's name for it is "partial 16S ribosomal RNA". It matches the Rfam family "Bacterial small subunit ribosomal RNA", at positions 524 to 776 of the family's 1533-position model. The record is from RNAcentral.